AUUGAACGCUGGCGGCACGCCUAACACAUGCAAGUCGAGCGGCAGCGAGACUAGUAGCAAUACUAGUUGUCGGCGAGCGGCGGACGGGUGAGUAAUGCCUAGGAAUCUGCCUGUUAGUGGGGGAUAACGCGGGGAAACUCGCGCUAAUACCGCAUACGUCCUACGGGAGAAAGCGGGGGCUCUUCGGACCUCGCGCUAACAGAUGAGCCUAGGUCGGAUUAGCUAGUUGGUGGGGUAAUGGCCCACCAAGGCGACGAUCCGUAACUGGUCUGAGAGGAUGAUCAGUCACACUGGAACUGAGACACGGUCCAGACUCCUACGGGAGGCAGCAGUGGGGAAUAUUGGACAAUGGGCGAAAGCCUGAUCCAGCCAUGCCGCGUGUGUGAAGAAGGUCUUCGGAUUGUAAAGCACUUUAAGUCGGGAGGAAGGGCUGUAGGCUAAUACCUUGCAGUUUUGACGUUACCGACAGAAUAAGCACCGGCUAACUUCGUGGCAGCCGCCGCCGUAA
Molecule: ribosomal RNA, 508 nt
Filed under: uncultured bacterium
Lineage: Bacteria
Description: partial 16S ribosomal RNA
Rfam family: Bacterial small subunit ribosomal RNA
Source: RNAcentral